This 223-nucleotide ribosomal RNA is filed under the name uncultured marine eukaryote. RNAcentral describes it as "partial 18S ribosomal RNA". It matches the Rfam family "Eukaryotic small subunit ribosomal RNA", at positions 1210 to 1456 of the family's 1831-position model. The record is from RNAcentral.
AAACCUUACUAAGGUAAGACAUCGUUAUGAUUGACAGAUUACUUGAUCUUUCUUGAUUUGGUGGGUGGUGGUGCAUGGCCGAUCUUAGUUGGUGGGGUGACUUGUCUGGUUAAUUCCGAUAACGAACGAGAUCCGAGCAGUUUUGUUGCUUGAAAUUAUAUGAUAUAAUUUUUAGUUCCUAAAUGGACCAUCAGAAUAAUCUGAAGGAAGUGACGGGCUAAAU